RNAcentral lists this ribosomal RNA (478 nucleotides) under Heteroctenus junceus. RNAcentral's name for it is "partial 16S ribosomal RNA". It matches the Rfam family "Bacterial large subunit ribosomal RNA", at positions 1817 to 2600 of the family's 2925-position model. Lineage: Eukaryota; Metazoa; Arthropoda; Arachnida; Scorpiones; Buthidae. The record is from RNAcentral.
AUUUUUUAGAGAUAAUUAAAAGUGAUUUCUGCCCAGUGCGUUAGUAAAUGGCCGCAGUAUUUUGACUGUGCAAAGGUAGCAUAAUAAUUAGUCUUGUAAUUUAAGACUGGAAUGAAAGGAUAAACUGAAAAAACUUUUUCUUUAUUAUUUUCUUUUGAAUUUUACUUUUUAGUAAAAAGGCUAAGAUAUCUCCUUAAGACAAAAAGACCCUAUAAAGCUUUACAUGAUUUAAUUUUAUAAAUUUAGUUUCAUGUUUAACUGGGGCGGUUGAAAGAUAAACACUUUUGAAUUAAUUAAAUAUAAUAAUUUACAUACCCAAAAAUUUUGAAUUCUAAAUAAGUUACUUUAGGGAUAACAGCGUUAUAUACUUAGAAAGCUCAAAUUGACAAGUAUGUUUGCGACCUCGAUGUUGGAUUAGAUUUCCUUUAUUGCGCAAGAGGAAUAUGAAGGGGGUCUGUUCGACCCUUAAAAAUCUCCA